UACGUAGGGGGCUAGCGUUGUCCGGAUUUAUUGGGCGUAAAGAGCUCGUAGGCGGUUCGGCAAGUCAGCUGUGAAAUCUCCACGCUCAACGUGGAGGGGUCAGCUGAUACUGCUGUGACUUGAGUCCGGUAGGGGAGUGUGGAAUUCCCGGUGUAGCGGUGAAAUGCGCAGAUAUCGGGAGGAACACCAGUAGCGAAGGCGGCACUCUGGGCCGGUACUGACGCUGAGGAGCGAAAGCGUGGGGAGCAAACAGG
Molecule: ribosomal RNA, 254 nt
Filed under: uncultured bacterium
Lineage: Bacteria
Description: partial 16S ribosomal RNA
Rfam family: Bacterial small subunit ribosomal RNA
Source: RNAcentral